UACAGAGGUCCCAAGCGUUGUUCGGAUUCACUGGGCGUAAAGGGUGCGUAGGUGGCUUGGUAAGCUUGAUGUGAAAUCUCCGGGCUUAACCCGGAAAUGGCAUUGAAUACUAUUGAGCUGGAGGUUUGGAGGGGGGACUGGAAUUCUCGGUGUAGCAGUGAAAUGCGUAGAUAUCGAGAGGAACACCAGUGGCGAAGGCGAGUCCCUGGACAACACCUGACACUGAGGCACGAAAGCUAGGGGAGCAAACAGG
Molecule: ribosomal RNA, 253 nt
Filed under: uncultured bacterium
Lineage: Bacteria
Description: partial 16S ribosomal RNA
Rfam family: Bacterial small subunit ribosomal RNA
Source: RNAcentral